AUCCAGCUGAAGAGUAACAAAUAGAACGAAAUGUGCAUCCUGGAU
This 45-nucleotide non-coding RNA is filed under the name Trichobilharzia regenti. Lineage: Eukaryota; Metazoa; Platyhelminthes; Trematoda; Strigeidida; Schistosomatidae. The record is from RNAcentral.